This 252-nucleotide long non-coding RNA is filed under the name Phoenix dactylifera (date palm). RNAcentral's name for it is "long non-coding RNA (PDAC_LNC011959)". Lineage: Eukaryota; Viridiplantae; Streptophyta; Magnoliopsida; Arecales; Arecaceae. The record is from RNAcentral.
GCUGGAACUCGAGAGAGCUGGCUCACGCGUGAGGCGGGCUAAAGAAGAGCUGGGAUCUGUUCAGCUGGAAAGAGAUGAAUUUGUAUAAAAUAAUGAUGAAAAUUAUAAUAAGUGCUAUGGAUAAAAUAUUUAAUCAUGCAAAUGUUAACACCUAUCAUUUAUCAUUAUUUUGCUAACAUUAGGCUAAGUUAAUUUGUACUUAGAUCGCACUUUUGUGCUCUCAUAAGUAGGGAUGAAUAUUUUGUGAGGUUU